AACGAACGCUGGCGGCAUGCCUAACACAUGCAAGUCGAACGAGACCUUCGGGUCUAGUGGCGCACGGGUGCGUAACGCGUGGGAACCUGCCUUUAGGUUCGGAAUAACUCAGAGAAAUUUGAGCUAAUACCGGAUGAUGUCUUCGGACCAAAGAUUUAUCGCCUUUAGAUGGGCCCGCGUUGGAUUAGCUAGUUGGUGGGGUAAAGGCCUACCAAGGCGACGAUCCAUAGCUGGUCUGAGAGGAUGAUCAGCCACACUGGGACUGAGACACGGCCCAGACUCCUAUGGGAGGCAGCAGUGGGGAAUAUUGGACAAUGGGCGAAAGCCUGAUCCAGCAAUGCCGCGUGAGUGAUGAAGGCCUUAGGGUUGUAAAGCUCUUUUACCCGAGAUGAUAAUGACAGUAUCGGGAGAAUAAGCUCCGGCUAACUCCGU
Molecule: ribosomal RNA, 432 nt
Filed under: uncultured bacterium
Lineage: Bacteria
Description: partial 16S ribosomal RNA
Rfam family: Bacterial small subunit ribosomal RNA
Source: RNAcentral